AAAAAUGACUGCGUUGCAAGAAGCAGAAAUCUGGCAAUGGGCGUGGCCUGAGUUCUACCAAUCAGCGAACACCUUCGUCAUAUGAGUUCUGAUGGAACCAUUGAACAGACCCUGCCUGGGAGUAGGCGCUAAAGUGGUUAUAGGAACUGUGGUUCAUGGUUCCAAGUUCUAAUACUGUCCGAAUGUGUGAAAAAAGGGCCUAGGUCCUGAAAAAGUUACAGGAACUGCAAAAAG
Molecule: long non-coding RNA, 234 nt
Organism: Sphaeramia orbicularis (orbiculate cardinalfish)
Lineage: Eukaryota; Metazoa; Chordata; Actinopteri; Kurtiformes; Apogonidae
Exons: 3
Source: RefSeq, a predicted model, not a curated record